GACGAACGCUGGCGGCGUGCUUAACACAUGCAAGUCGAACGGAAAGGCCCUGCUUUUGUGGGGUGCUCGAGUGGCGAACGGGUGAGUAACACGUGAGUAACCUGCCCUUGACUUUGGGAUAACUUCAGGAAACUGGGGCUAAUACCGGAUAGGAGCUCCUGCUGCAUGGUGGGUGUUGGAAAGUUUCGGCGGUUGGGGAUGGACUCGCGGCUUAUCAGCUUGUUGGUGGGGUAGUGGCUUACCAAGGCUUUGACGGGUAGCCGGCCUGAGAGGGUGACCGGCCACAUUGGGACUGAGAUACGGCCCAGACUCCUACGGGAGGCAGCAGUGGGGAAUAUUGCACAAUGGGCGGAAGCCUGAUGCAGCAACGCCGCGUGCGGGAUGACGGCCUUCGGGUUGUAAACCGCUUUCGCCUGUGACGAAGCGUGAGUGACGGUAAUGGGUAAAGAAGCACCGGAUAACUACGUG
RNAcentral lists this ribosomal RNA (468 nucleotides) under uncultured bacterium. Its description in RNAcentral is "partial 16S ribosomal RNA". It matches the Rfam family "Bacterial small subunit ribosomal RNA", at positions 28 to 507 of the family's 1533-position model. The record is from RNAcentral.